RNAcentral lists this ribosomal RNA (175 nucleotides) under Marasmius aurantioferrugineus. Its description in RNAcentral is "partial 28S ribosomal RNA". It matches the Rfam family "Eukaryotic large subunit ribosomal RNA", at positions 1 to 175 of the family's 3401-position model. The record is from RNAcentral. Lineage: Eukaryota; Fungi; Basidiomycota; Agaricomycetes; Agaricales; Marasmiaceae.
UGACCUCAAAUCAGGUAGGACUACCCGCUGAACUUAAGCAUAUCAAUAAGCGGAGGAAAAGAAACUAACAAGGAUUCCCCUAGUAACUGCGAGUGAAGAGGGAAAAGCUCAAAUUUAAAAUCUGGCAGCUCCGCUGUCCGAGUUGUAAUUUAGAGAAGUGUUACCCGCGCUGGAC